CGUGUAGGCGGUCAGGUAAGUGGAAUGUGAAAUGCCCCGGCUCACCCGGGGACCGGCAUCCCAAACUGCCUGGCUUGAGUAUGGGAGAGGAUGGAGGAAUUCCUGGUGUAGCGGUGAAAUGCGUAGAUAUCAGGAGGAACACCGGUGGCGAAGGCGUCCAUCUGGCCCAAUACUGACGCCGAGGCGCGAAAGCUAGGGGAGCAAACG
This 207-nucleotide ribosomal RNA is filed under the name uncultured Latescibacterota bacterium. Its description in RNAcentral is "uncultured Latescibacteria bacterium partial 16S ribosomal RNA". It matches the Rfam family "Bacterial small subunit ribosomal RNA", at positions 568 to 774 of the family's 1533-position model. The record is from RNAcentral. Lineage: Bacteria; Pseudomonadati; Candidatus Latescibacterota.